AGCUGGGCCAGUGCACAGGAAGCCAAGCAGUGGGACCCAGAGAGAGGCCCCCAUCCCCGAGAAACCACCGUCCCCACAAGCACGCCGUAUCCUGAGAUGUAGGGAACAGUGGGUGGAGCACUCCAGGAAGCAGAGGCAGUCCAGGGCCUGCAGCCUAGUUCACUAGCUGGCCAGGUGGGGAAGGAGGCCUGUGAUUCCUCAGCUGGGGCAAGCAGAGAGCAGGUGAGGGUCACAGGCCUCAUCAAGCCCAGAUGCUGCAAUCAGCAGACACAGGAGCAGAAGGCAGCAGAGCUGAGGUGCUGUGUCUGCUCAACUGCCCACAUUGAGGGACCUUGUUUUGGAUGCUCCUGGACCUCCAUGGGUUUCUCCUUCAGGCAUGAUGCUGGACUGUAUCCAGACUUGAAUUGCUGCUGCACCUUGUUUCCUGACUUUCAGCCUUCGACUUUAGAUUUUGAACUGUGGACUUUGCAGAUGCUGAUCGACCCUGGACCUCAUUUCCUGACCUUCGGCUUUCGACUUUGGAUCUCAGACCGCGGACUUUGUGGAUGCUGAUUGACCCUUGGAUUUUGGGCUUGAUCUUGGCAUGCUGUCUAUCUGCCAGGUAAGCCAGGACAUUAAGCUUGUGAUCUGUUAAGAGUCCUAGAUCCUUUUCAACGAUACUGCUGUCAGGCCAAUCCUACCUGAUUCAAAAGUAGUUUACCCUGGCGCCCCUCCACACAACAGAAUCUCCCUGCACAUGUUAAACUAACAUGUCAUAAUGAGACUUGGCCAGAAAAGGUUGGCUACUGGGAGCUGAGCUAGUUCACUUUCCCUUGCCACACCCAACCAGGAAGUCAAUAAAUUCAUUUGCAAGUGUCUGAAAUUUUCCUUGACCCAAUAGAGUUGCAUGUCAACUGAAAAAGGGACUACUCUGGACCUCACCAGUCAUCUUUUUAUGGUGGAUCAGAUCUCUAUGCUUGGCUUAUUUGUGGUUUCUGUUCAGUUGCUGCUUCUCCCAAAACCAGGUGUAAAUUUGUGUUUGUGGUGGAGCAACAAUGGAUGAGUUCAAGGGAAUGCUCUUUCCCCUAGAGGUCUGGCUGGAGGAGGUGAAAUGAGCAGACUCAACCCCAAGAAUUAUUAUUACCACUAGAAGAGGUAUCAGUAGUCCAAGCUAUUAUGGUGUUGAUUCUUCUCUCCCACUAGUUGUAAAUCAGGAGACACUCAAGUGAAGUCUGUGGUGUUGACAGGACUGUAAAAUUGGUAUGAGUAGGAGGCCAAAGCCCAGUAUGUGGUGGAAAGUGAAUAGAUCAACAUGGGAGAUAAUUAAUAUGAUGUGGCUUAGUGCAACUGCACUACAGGAAAUUGAGCCCUUCAGCACAAAGGAUGUCAUAUUAGGUUAAACUAUUAAAGUGGUUGGGGUGUAAGGCAAUAAUUUAAUCAGGGGAAUAUGCACAAUCUGGGUACCAAAUGUUGAAGAGCGGGGGGAAACCCUUUAAAGUUUGGGGCUUGUGAUGACAUACGCAUUGCAGAAUACAGAUGGUGGAAUUCGAGUGCUGAUGCCAAGUGCUAUGUUGUCUUGGAUAUCUGAAUGCACAUUUUUCUGUAGAGGCACAAUUUUUAAAGAGAUUUUAUCCACCUGCUAAUCCCAGAGUCUUGUUAGAUUACAUUAAUUACAGCUAGGGGAAUAUUUACAUUUGCUAGUUAAGUCCAACAGGUUCUGAAAAAUGUCUUUAAAAUGUAUAACUUUGCUUAGAUAGCAACCUAUCUAAGUCCAUCACAGAAUGUGCUCAAUUCACAUGCUCUGAUGCCACAGCAGAACAAUUGUUUUUGAAGAAAUUCUCUGCCAAAGGUACAUUUGCUUUAAUUCUAAAGUGACCUGUACUGUACUUACUGGAGGUGAUAAAUUGUUCAGGCUGGUACUCUUUGAUACCUGGUGGCUUACAAAAGCAACUUUUCCUUUGGUCUGUGUCAGUGCUGGUGAGGACUGCAUUCAUCUGUUUGCUGACUUAACAGUUGGGCAUUUCCUUCUCUCUGAGUGUUGUGUAGACCUUAUGGAAACCAGAGAUAGGCUAGCAGGGUAAAUCAUGCCUCAUAUCUGAAUUACUGAAAUACCGGCAUAUUGCUGCUGCUGCUGCUGCUGCUGCUACUUAUUAAAUUUCUAUACCACCCUUCAUCCAAAGAACACAGGGUGGUUUACAAUAUAAAACACAGGAUCAGGACUGAAAUAAGGGAGACGUGGGGCAAAACAUGCUAUUCUCCCAUGCCAGUCUCCUGAUGAAAAUCACAUCUCAAGCUGCUAUUUUCUUGGAAGGGGAGGAUAGUAGCAGUGGUAGCAGUAAGUUUUUCUUUGAAGGGCACAUAACUUCAUGGAGCAAUUUCAUCAGGGUUAAUUCCCCCUCCCUGCCCCCGUACCAAGGUCCUGGUCCACUAGGAGUUAUCUGAAUUGGAAAUAAGAGUUUUUCCUUAGAGCCAGGCUUCAGAAUGCCUCCCAGUGAAAUAUAUCCAUUUGGAAUUAGCAAAACAUUUAUUUAGUGCCUUUAAUUCAAUUACAAUUGCAUGUUCAGAUAGUCAAGGACAGCAGUGACCAGCUGUUCAUUGGUAUAGAGGCCAGGACCAAAUCUAGAUCUUCACUUCCUCCUGGGAAGUGACGGCUUUCCUGACCAGGGUGGCCGUGGCUUCUGGACUGGGCUGAGUAUUAUGCAUAUUCACUCUAUUCCUUUAAAGCACAUUCAAAGCACUUGGAUAAUUCUGGUCACUGUAGUUUACCUCUCACAGAGUUUCAGUUCCAAGCAACCCAUAACGAACUACAGUGCCCAGAAUUCUUUGAGGGAAAGAAUGUGCUCCGAAUGUGCUUUCAAGUUACAAUGUGCACACAACCCCUGUCUCUCAUCCAUCUGCAACAGAGAUUGGAACAAAGGUCUACUUUGAUUGGAACAGAGAUCCAUAAGACUGGGGUGUCCGAUGCUGAAAAGCAAACCACAAUUCCCAGACUGCAAUUAGCAGUGUGAUAGGAUCAAAGCCUAAGAUUAUUUUGAAAUUAUUAAUACUAAUGAAAGGCUAAAAAAGGAUUGCUGGGGUUUUAUUAUUUCCAAUAGUUUUCAUUAGCUGCCCUCGGUUGAUUGGAUAUGGGAGGUUUUAUUUACCCCCCCCCAUAUAUAUAUUAAAUAAAAUAAAAUUACAUAGGAUUCUAUUAAUGGGGUCUCUUAAAUGUUAUGCUUAGAAAAUACAGUUAUAGAAUCAGAUGUUACCGCUGGAUGCCCAUUUGCACUAUUGCCCUCUGAUGGGUUGAAACAGAACUGUUCAUAUGUUCGCUGUUUACCUUCUAAACCAAGUAGCACACUUUCAAAGAGACUCACAAUCUUUUAUAACAGUUAGUAGCGAUCCCUUUAGGGUUCAAGCCAUGAUAAUUGUGAAUGAAGUGCUGGUGCCCGCACUGUGGUGGCUACAAGCCUACAACCAGAAAUUUGUUCUUUCUGUGUGCAGCUCCCAAGCCACUGGCAGCCAUGUCCUCAUGCAAGAAUACAGGCCUGCAGCACAUUUAGGUGACACGUGGCUGUAGCUGGCUAUCAUCUGAGGCAGCAAGGAAAAAGGAAAUCUGCACAGCAUUUGUCCUGCUACUUUUUUGGUCCUGGCAAGGGGAAAUGUUUUCCACAAUCACUCAGCGGUUUGCCCACUCUCUGCACUUAUGCACCUUACCUUUACCUGCUGGCUUUCUCUUUUCCCACAUCAUCUGAGGCAACUGUGCAAGGCAACCUGCAAGGCAAAUGCAGAAGUCCUCCCUGUGCAUAUGGAAGUGAGAAAAGGCACACAUGCCACACGCCAUCUCUUGCGCUG
RNAcentral lists this long non-coding RNA (3813 nucleotides) under Podarcis lilfordi (Lilford's wall lizard). Lineage: Eukaryota; Metazoa; Chordata; Lepidosauria; Squamata; Lacertidae. The record is from RNAcentral.